This 253-nucleotide ribosomal RNA is filed under the name uncultured bacterium. RNAcentral describes it as "partial 16S ribosomal RNA". It matches the Rfam family "Bacterial small subunit ribosomal RNA", at positions 524 to 776 of the family's 1533-position model. The record is from RNAcentral.
CACGUAGGGGGCGAGCGUUGUCCGGAAUCAUUGGGCGUAAAGAGCGUGUAGGUGGACUGGAAGGUCUGGUGUGAAAGCCCGGGGCUCAACCCCGGAGGGUCACUGGAAACCAACAGUCUUGAGUCUGGAAGAGGAGAGUGGAAUUCCUGGUGUAGCGGUGGAAUGCGCAGAUAUCAGGAGGAACACCAAUGGCGAAGGCAGCUCUCUGGUACAUGACUGACACUGAGACGCGAAAGCGUGGGGAGCGAACAGG